Molecule: non-coding RNA, 135 nt
Organism: Brachypodium distachyon (stiff brome)
Lineage: Eukaryota; Viridiplantae; Streptophyta; Magnoliopsida; Poales; Poaceae
Source: Rfam
AUGGUAUUUCUCCGUCCAACAAAGUAUGUUUCAACUUUAACUAAAUUUGAAUGCAUCUAUAUACUAAGUCAUAUCUAGAUACAUCUAAAUUUUGACAAACUUGAGACAUCUUUUGUUGGACGGAUGGAAUACAUC